RNAcentral lists this transfer RNA (72 nucleotides) under Merluccius polli (Benguela hake). It matches the Rfam family "tRNA". Rfam says of the family: Transfer RNA (tRNA) molecules are approximately 80 nucleotides in length. Their secondary structure includes four short double-helical elements and three loops (D, anti-codon, and T loops). The record is from Rfam by way of RNAcentral. Lineage: Eukaryota; Metazoa; Chordata; Actinopteri; Gadiformes; Merlucciidae.
UCCUCGUUAGUAUAGUGGUCAGUAUCCCCGCCUGUCACGCGGGAUGCCGGGGUUCAAUUCCCCGACGGGGGA